Long non-coding RNA from Nematolebias whitei (Rio pearlfish), 92 nucleotides. RefSeq lists it as uncharacterized. The transcript has 3 exons. The record is from RefSeq and is a predicted model, not a curated record. NCBI's taxonomy places the organism in Eukaryota, Metazoa, Chordata, Actinopteri, Cyprinodontiformes, Rivulidae.
GGACAGCACGUGUGCAUCCAAUUUGUGCACUGUGCCAUGCAACACCAUCUUUGGAUCUCAGCACCAAAUGGAUGUUGCCCUGUUGGAGAAAC